RNAcentral lists this unclassified non-coding RNA (331 nucleotides) under soil metagenome. RNAcentral describes it as "partial contains 5.8S ribosomal RNA, internal transcribed spacer 2, and large subunit ribosomal RNA". The stretch from base 1 to 120 matches the Rfam family "5.8S ribosomal RNA", at positions 35 to 154 of the family's 154-position model. The record is from RNAcentral.
GAUGAAGAACGUAGCGAAAUGCGAUAAGUAAUGUGAAUUGCAGAAUUCAGUGAAUCAUCGAAUCUUUGAACGCACAUUGCGCCCGCCAGUAUUCUGGCGGGCAUGCCUGUUCGAGCGUCAUUUCAACCAUCAAGCCCCAGGCUUGUGUUGGGGGCCUGCAGCUGCUGCAGCCCCCUAAAAGCAGUGGCGGACUCGCUGUCAUACUGAGCGCAGUAGUUACAUCUCGCUCUGGGCAUGGCGGCGGGCACCUGCCGUAAAACACUCUUUCUAAGGUUGACCUCGGAUCAGGUAGGAAUACCCGCUGAACUUAAGCAUAUCAAUAAGCGGAGGA